GUGCUCACUUCAGCUGCAUAUAUACUAAAAUUGGAAUAAUACAUAGAAGAUUAGCAUGGCCCCUGUGCAAGGAUGACAUAUAAAUUUGUGAAGCAUUCUGUAUUUUA
This is a small nuclear RNA of Cebus imitator (Panamanian white-faced capuchin), 107 nucleotides long. NCBI's taxonomy places the organism in Eukaryota, Metazoa, Chordata, Mammalia, Primates, Cebidae. The record is from Ensembl.